This is a non-coding RNA of Bos taurus (domestic cattle), 72 nucleotides long. NCBI's taxonomy places the organism in Eukaryota, Metazoa, Chordata, Mammalia, Artiodactyla, Bovidae. The record is from Rfam.
UCCCUGAUAGCUCAGUUGGUAAAGAAUCUGCCUGCAAUGCAGGAGACCUGGGUUUGAUUCCUGGGUUGGGAA